This is a non-coding RNA of Mycena maculata, 93 nucleotides long. The record is from the annotation of a GenBank genome assembly. NCBI's taxonomy places the organism in Eukaryota, Fungi, Basidiomycota, Agaricomycetes, Agaricales, Mycenaceae.
GCUUUGGUGGGGUAGUGGUAACCUGGGUCGUUGCCAUUUCGGCUUACGUAACCGUGACUCGACCCGCCGGGGGUUCGAUUCCCUCUCAAAGCA